UACAAUUAUGCUAAAUUUUAUAUUGAUUUUAAUAUUUAUUAAAUUAAAUAAUUAAUAUUAUACAUUAGAAAUGUAUAAAAAUUAUAAAAACUGAGGGCAGCUAGGUGGCUCAGUAGAUUGAGAGCCAGGCUUAGAGAUGGGAGGUCCUAGGUUCAAAUAUGACUUUGGCUAUUUCCUAGCUGUGUGAUCCUGGGUAAGUCACGUAACCCCCACUGACUAGUCCUUACUGCUCUUCUGCCUGGGAACCAAUGCAUAGUAUUGAUUCUAAAACAGAAGGUAAGGAUUAAAAAAAAACAACAAGCCACCUAAGGUUUCAGCCCACAGCCUGUUUCUAAAAUGCAACUAGGAUUGCCUCCUAUGUUCUCCACACUUGAGAUUCAAACUAUCAGUGUUGGCUUGAGAAUACUGCUGACUGAUGGUGGAAGACUCUCCAGAUGACCACCCUGGAGGCAGGUACAUGACCUCUGGUGAUGCAGAGAGGGAACCUUGUCAUGAGUUCAUCAGAACCUUUAAGACCCAGCUGUUGAAGUCCAGUGGCAAGACAAAAGUCAGGAUGACUUGGGACACAGAGGAUGAUCCUUUGAUCUUUGAUGUUUCACCAAGCUGGCUAAGAUGUGAACUGGAAUGACCUCCAGGAAUUGAUGCAGAGUGAAAGGAGCAGAACCAGAAGAACCUUAUAAACAGAGACUAAUACACUGUGGCACAAUUUAAUAUAAUGUUCUUCUCUGCUAGCAGCAAAACUAUGAUCCAGGACAAUUCUGAAGGAUUUAUGAGAAAGAACACUAUUGACAUCCAGAGGAAGAACUGUGGGAGUAGAAAUAAAAAAACAAAAAAAAACUGCUUGAUUACA
Molecule: long non-coding RNA, 850 nt
Filed under: Monodelphis domestica (gray short-tailed opossum)
Lineage: Eukaryota; Metazoa; Chordata; Mammalia; Didelphimorphia; Didelphidae
Description: lncRNA (ENSMODG00000030086.2)
Source: RNAcentral